GUAGCGCAGCGGGGUCCCGGGCGGGGCGCAGCGGGCCGCGGGGCUCCGGGCGCGCUCCCCGCACUACUCCAGUGCCAUGGUGCUCCGGAGGAGCCGCUCGGUUUAGAGCUGGGGCUGGCGGCGGAGGGAUACUCCGGCCGGGAGCCGCCUCACCCCUCCUCAAACUUCCUGACAUUUGAACUCAUUGGUGCGCCUCGUAUCACUGCGCCGGGAUGAGCCGGCGGCUCCACGUCAAAUAGUGCCGUCGCCGCCCCCCCCAUCCCCGCGGGAGGGCUCCCUGAGCCCCCGGCCUGCACCCCGCACCGUGCCCCGGACCCGGUCAGCCAGCCUGCCCACCCUUGGCAGAAGUUUGGGUAGCCAUCGAAACAAAUCCUGUGCCCCACCCCUCUUGAAAAAUUGAUUUGGGAGUUGGGGAAAUCAGGCUUUCUUUUUUUUUUCUUUCUUGCCUUUUUUAUUAUUAAUAUUUUUGUUAAAAAAAAAGCUCCAGCGAUCAGAGGAGUGGCCCCGAGCGAGGCCAGACUGUGCAGACGGCGGGGAGCGCAGUGACUUCUCCAGGGGACGGCGCCAGGCGGAACGGCUGCCCGGGGACCCCGACUUGUCGGCGAAGCCGCGCACGGUCGUCCACGUGUCCGUGAAGCAUCCUUAGGGUUUUUGGCCUCCCAGUCUCUGCCUCCGUGGAAGAAUAAUACGACUGGACAGGAGGACACCGGCCUAGGCUCGGAGCCCAAGUCUCUCGCCUGGCUCUGCGGGAUCUCAGCCAUCGUUUCGGUACCAGCCAUUGCCCCCCUGCGGCUCUGAGACUCACAAGGCGGCUGAUCGCCCAGGCAGGCGUCGUCCAACGCGGGAUGCUUGCUGCCUCCAACGUCUUGCGGCAGAAUCUGCUCAGGACUGUUUCCACCUUAGCAAAGACAGAGGAGGCGGACUGCCAGCACCGCUGGGCUUGCAAGAAACAAACAGGAGGGAGCUGGGCUCUUCCUAUUCCCAGAGGCGCGCAGCUCCUGAGCCCUGUCCUGAGGCUUCUGGCUCUUCUCCUUUAGGACUUCGCAACCUCUCGGUAGGACCCGCCUCGUACGUACGUACGAGCGUACGAGAGCUCACAGGGUGUGUGUGUGUGUGUGUGUGUGUGUGUGUGUGUGUGUGUGUGUGUGUGUGUGUGUGUGGUUAGGGCUACACCAGUGAAACUCCAAUCGUUUCAUGCUUCUGACCAGAGUCGGAGAGAGAGGACUCUCUAGGUUUAGAACCCAUAGCUGGAGUCUCAGAUCCCAGCAUGAAUGAGCACCGGGCACAGCCUUGGGUGCACCAGUAAGAAGGAGAAUAUCAGAAACAUCCAGCCUGGCCUUUUUGCUCUGUCACUAGGACCAAGGCCAUGGAGCACCUAGGCACACCCCACGCUGCCCCCCAGGCUAAUGGAACCUCAAGAUCUAUGAGACUGAAUUAAAGCUGCCCCAAGCCAUGGUCCAGGUCGGGAGCACUCUCCGGGAGAGUCAGCCCCAGGUCCCGGGUGCUGAAGAAUCCGCAGACUCCGGAAGUGGAACAAGGGCGUGCCCAAGGCUCAGCAGAGGUCGAAGGUGGGCUAUUUCCAAUUCCCGAGUGACCAAGCACACCUCUGAGCAUCCCAGCUAGACUUAACCCAGGACGCACGGGUCAAAGGAUGGGGCAGUCACUUCCCACCACCCAGGAAAAAGCUCUGAGGUCAUCCUGUGCUGCUGGAAGCCCGCUUGGAGGUUCUCCAGAGAGGAGAGACUGGGAAGGGACCCUCGGGCUGCUUCUCAUUCUCCACUGGAAGCUUUUGAGGCUGAUGAGAGAGGGGUGCCGGACUUGCGGGUGACCAGUGUGUACUAUGCCCACAGCGGGAGAUGAGCCAAGUCCCUCAGCCUUCCAACAACCCCCACUCUGGCCAUUAGGUCGGACUAUUAGUCAUGGGCUUGCUCCACAUGUCAGGAAAUCGGGCUCCCUCAGAUCCAAAGGCUGCUGGCAGCCCUCGGGAAGGGCUGGAAGAGAAGGACACGGGCCCUCCCCAGGAGCUCAGGUCUCCCACCAGCUAGGCAGUGAUUAAGGGCAGAGAGUGGCCUGUCUCGGGAAGUACCCCAGAUCUUGUCUCAAGGGCUGGUUAGGAAACAUCAGAAUGGGAGACCUGCACCUCUGCACCUCAAUGUCCCUGUCUGUGCAAUGGACAUAAAAAAGGCAUCAAUUUUACAGGGUUGCUGGGAGGGUGAUGCAGACGCGCUCUUGGUGUGCCCAGCUCACUGUAGGGCUCUAGACUUACUAUUUGAUGAAUAAUUGUAUGGGAGGGAGAGCUGCUUCUUAGACAUAGGGGACUCUCUUCCUCCCCCUUCUUUUCUUCUUCCUCUAGAGCUAGAGGGAGAACAGACUUGUCUCAAAUUCAGUCCUGUCUGGUGUCUUCCUUCCCUCUGGGGCAAGAGAAGUCAAGAAGCUGGUCACAAGAGACUCUGGGCACUGCCUGGGCAUCCAGACGACCGCCCAGCCUUCUCCACUGGCUUUGCCAUGAAACCUGGGGCUGAGAGCAGCUAGCACUCCCAGUGAGAGCUUUGGGAUGAUGACGAUGAUGAUGAUGAAGAUGAUGAUGAUAAUGAUGGUGAUUAUUUUUAGCCCAUUGCUCAGAAACCCGUUAGGGGCUGGGAUAUGUAUGUGUGUGUUAUGUUUACUUUUACCAAGCACUUUUCUUAAGAAUCUCUGCAUUUCUUGCCAAAUGGAUGGUUUCAGCACCCAGUCUGUAAGAACGAGGGGCUCCCCAACCCAGGACAGGAGCCAGAACAAAGAGAAGGUGAAGGACCAUGUUUGGAGCCAUAAAAGCCUCAUUAGGAUCUCAAGAAUAACUCACAGAAUCGGACACAAAUUCACAAAAGCCAGGGAAUUCAUUGGUCUCCACCCUGAGGGUCCACGGCUGGGGAAGGGGGUGGGUGUGAGCCAGGGCGGGUGCCUCUCCUAUUUGAUCUCUAUCUUAAAUCCACUUCAAAACGCUGCGGCGCAGCCGAAUUGGAGGUUGGCCCCUUCCUGUAAUUAUUUGGUGUCUAGUAAAGUUUUUAUGAGUGUCUGUGCAAAUAAAUGCAUCUGAUGAUG
This is a long non-coding RNA of Peromyscus californicus insignis, 3081 nucleotides long. RefSeq lists it as uncharacterized. The record is from RefSeq and is a predicted model, not a curated record. NCBI's taxonomy places the organism in Eukaryota, Metazoa, Chordata, Mammalia, Rodentia, Cricetidae. The transcript has 2 exons.